UACGUAGGGUGCAAGCGUUGUCCGGAAUUAUUGGGCGUAAAGAGCUCGUAGGCGGUCUGUCGCGUCUGGUGUGAAAAUCCAGGGCUUAACCCUGGACCUGCAUCGGGUACGGGCAGACUAGAGUGCGGUAGGGGAGAUCGGAAUUCCUGGUGUAGCGGUGAAAUGCGCAGAUAUCAGGAGGAACACCGGUGGCGAAGGCGGAUCUCUGGGCCUUACCUGACGCUGAGGAGCGAAAGCGUGGGGAGCGAACAGG
This 253-nucleotide ribosomal RNA is filed under the name uncultured bacterium. RNAcentral's name for it is "partial 16S ribosomal RNA". It matches the Rfam family "Bacterial small subunit ribosomal RNA", at positions 524 to 776 of the family's 1533-position model. The record is from RNAcentral.